ACCCCUAGCCUGGGAACCUCCAUAUGCCACGGGAGCGGCCCAAGAAAUAGCAACAAUAAUAACAACAACAAAAAAGACAAAAGACAAAAAAAAACCAAAAAAACAAAAAAAAAAACCAAAAAAAAAAACAAAACAAAAUUUGCAUAUAAUUUCAAGAGGUUCAUGGAUUCUGAAAUACAGUAGUGGACCUGCUAAGAGCAUAUAAAUAGCAUGUGUUAAUUUAUUUUAUGAUAUAUAAUUUAAAUUUUGUCUGUAAUAUUUAUAAAUUAGGUUAUUUAUAACAAAUAUAAACUAGCUGUGUUGAAUAUAUAUAUGUAUAUAUAUAUAAUACAUACACAUAUAUAUGUUAGUAAGUGCUUUAUAUGAAAAACCCCAAUUUAAAUCAUGUCUUAAUGGAGUUUAGGUUAGAAUAUACUUUUAGAGUACAUUUCUAAAAGAAAGUAUUUUCAGGAAAAGGCUAUAUUCCUCUUUAAAUGUCAGUCAUAUGCCACUUCUCGAAGGAAAGGUGAGAAAAUAAAAAUAUUUUUCUUAAUGUAGUACAGCAAGUGACAAAGUGAGCUGACAUGCUUAGGAAGCUAGGUGGAGAUGUAGUUUGUAAAGAAAGAUUAAAAUGUCAUUUUAUCUGAAGAUUCACUAGUCAUUUCCCCAGGGCUAUCUUUGCCUGUGUAUGAAAAUGGGUUCUUUUGGUGCAAAAAAUCAUGCAUUUUUAAAUAGUUGAUCAGAACAAUAAGACGUUCCUUUUGAAGUUCUUUUAGCCUAUAGAUGGCAGUGGUUUAAUUAUGGAGUUUAAAAGGAAAACUUAAGGGUAUAAUUUUAAUUAUAAUAAUAAUAGCCGUACAGUAUCAAUUGCCUAACUUAGCUUUGGCUAUUAGUAAAAUAAUGAAAUGUUUUGAAGCAUUAUUUUGAUAGCAGUUGAAUGUAUUGUGCUCUUUUGCUGCUUUUUUUUUUUUGUAAUAUGUUCAUGAAAGAGAGUUAAGUUUUCAUUUCUUUAAGAGGAUGUUUUCUUCUGCUGUUCCCAAGAUAGCAUGUUCCUCCCUCCAAUUAGCGACUUGAAUCAAGAUCAGGUUUUAGACCAAGUAAGCCUUUGUAACAGAUUGGCGCCUCAGGCCCUUCAUUUUGUAGAAAUUCUCAACCAAGGAAAACAAAAUUGAAAACUCCUAAGAGGCAAUGAGUUACUAUCGUUAGAUAGCAAGUCUGAUAACUUUCAGGCCUUUUGAAGGAAUUUCUUUUCUUUUUUUAAGCUUUCUAGCUUCUCCAUUUAGUGCAGCACGAAGCACCGUGGAAAACAUUCUCCUCCUCCUCUGACUUUGUGGGAAUUGGACCAACUGACAUUUUCUUUUUCUUUUUUUCUUUUUUUUUCUUUUUUUUGGUCUUUUUGUCUUUUUAUGGCUGUACCCACAGCUUAUGGAGGUUCCUAGGCUAAGGGUCGAAUUGGAGGUAUAGGUGCCAGCCUACACCCCAGCCACAGCCACAGCCAGAUCCGAGCCGUGUCUGCCACCUACACCACAGCUCACGGCAACGCCAGAUCCUUAACCCACUGAUUGAGGCCAGGGAUAGAACCCGCAACCUCAUGGUUCCUAGUUGGAUUCGUUUCUGCUGCGCCAUGACGGGAACUCCCUAACUGACAUUUUCAAUAAAUCCAAGAGCCUGGGAACAGAAUGCUCAGGAUACUCUUCCCUCAGUCAGGCUCUACAAAUUAACUUAAAGGACACAUUUCGAGAAAGUUAUCUUUCCUGCAUUAAAUAAAAAAAUACUCAGUUUUUCAAACUGUUGAGUUUUUUGUGUUCUUUCUUUAUUCUAGAUUCUAGUCCUUUAUCAGAUAUAGGGUUUGCAAAUAAGUUUCUCCUAGUAUGUAAUUCAGCUUUUCAUUCUCUAAAGUCUUUUGCAGGACAAAAGUUUCAAAUUUUGUUGAGGCCCAUUUUAUCAAUAGUUUUUUUUGUGUGUGUGUGUGUGUGUGUGUGGUGGGGAGGAUAGUGCUUUUUGGUGUUGAGUCUAAGAGCUCUUUGCCCUAGCCCUGGAUCAAAAAUACUUUAUCACUAUUUGUAGACUCUUUUCUGUUUCACUAAUCUGUGUCUCUCCCUUUACCAAUAUUACACAGUCUUAGUCCCUGGAAGCUGUAUAGUGUCUUGAAAUCAGGUAGACUGAUUUUUCUCCUUAUAUUCUUGUUCAUUAUUUCGGCUAUCCUGGUUCCUUUGUCUUUCCAACUAGAUUUUAGAAUAACCUUCUGUGUAGCUGUAAAAUUUCUUGCUAGGAUUUCGAUGGUAAUUACAUUAAACCUGUGUAUCAGUUUGGGAAAGAAUUUAUACUUUUACUACGUUGAGUCUUCUAAUCCUGGCACGUGAUAUGUCUCUCCAUUUUUUUAGAUUUUCUAUAAUUUCUUUUAUCAACAAUUGGUAGUUUCAUCGUACAAGUCCUGUGCAUGUUUUGGUAGGUUUCCAACUAAGUAUUUCACUUUUUGAGCAAGUAUCGAUAACAUUGAAUCUCAAAUUUGUAUGUUUAUGUGUUCUUGCAUGCAUGUGUACAUGCAUGCACACGCAUGCGUACAUGCAUGCACACGCAUGCAUGCUCACACACACACAAACACACACACUUACUUUAUUUUGGUAUGUUUACCUUGUGUCCUAAAAAAUCUAUGGCAAUGAUAUGUGUAAGUGCAGAAGUCCUGUCUUUGACUCUAAGCUUCAUCUUUCCCUUUUCUUACUGAUUGGUUGGGCGACUACUUGAUCCGUUCAUUCUUUCAUUUAGCAAACAGUCACUGGAUGGCCACCCUGUCCAUAGUUCUUUGUUAGGUACCUCUGUUAAUUUGGAGUUAAAAAAGAUAGGACCUUUGAUCUCAUACAGUAGCAAAAAAAAAAAAAAAAAAAGCAAUGCAGACAACCACCUGUAAUACUAAUCAUGGCAAAAUAAGCGUUGUUCUAGAGAGAAAACCUGUGUGUGGUGAGAAUGCAAAGGAAGAAACAGGUAAUUCUGACAGAGAGGACCCAGGAACACCUUCAUGAAAAAGAUAGACUUUGUGUGGAGUCGGGUUGUUACAUUUCAGAGGCAGACCAGUAAAGGACUCAGCGUGCACCCAGUCCUUGGAGCCCCGGGGCUGUUGGGCUUUGUGUGUGACAUAGGGGCCUGGGAACGUGAAACCAGCUUUGAUUGUGGGGUUCUUCAAUGCUCUGGUAUAAAGUUUGGACCUUGUUCUGCAGUAAAUAGGGAGCGACUUCAGGUUUCUAAACAGGAGGAGAACGCUGUUAUGCUGAUUUAGUCAAAGGAUUCUGGCGAUGAUGUCACAGAUAGAUUCAAAAGUGAGAAGGAGCCCAGUCCUUACGGAGGUUUAGGCCGAAGUGGAGAUGCAGCAUUGGGCUCUUUCAGAAGGGUCCAAACCAUCUGAAGGGCAGUGAGUGGCACAUAGCUGCUGCCUUUCAUCCAGACAGCAUUUCCUCCUUGUGAUUAGGAGGAGAUUAAAAUUCUCUGUUAUAGGAGAAUAAAACCUGGGCUUUUGAAAACAAAAAUGCAUUGUUUUCACUUACGAUUUCUAGCUUCUUUAAAAAUAAUAAAUGUAGAUUGUAAUUUUCUCUGAGUGAUGCGGUUUUGAAUUUUAAAAGGGCAGUCACUAUAAGAAUAAGCACCUUCUAGCAUGAAUUGGUGUUCUUAUGGGAGGCAGUCACUCUGGAUUAUCUUAUGCACUUGAAAACUUUUGGUUUUGGGGGGAUAUUGAAUGGGUAUAGGAGCUCAAUUUGAGCAAAUUCUAUCUCUGUGUAUAACACCACAGAUUGGAGUUCUGGGAACUAAGGUGUAAAAGAGUGGACAAGCCUAAGUCUUUUUUGGAGAUAGUUUUGUCUAUCUACUGAGCCGUAAGUCCUUCAUCCUAAACUAUAACCUCCUAAAGUGAUGUGAGGAAUUCUCUGAUGCUUAAGAAAACCAAAUAACUAGGAGUCAGUCUGCAGAUAGCUUUCUGUGGUCACCUGCUUCUGAAGACCCGAUCUUCUUGGGGAUACUCUUUCUUCUUCUGCAUUUUUAACUCCUCUUGAGAUUGCGGCCUCACUUGAUGUUCUUCGUUUUCUAGCCUCUGUGCCUUCAAGUAGGAGUAGACAUAGCUACAGUUGCAUACUUGAUUCAUUAGAAAUACUUGAGAUAAUUCAGUAAACGGUGUCCAAAGAUGUAUUGUCUGCUGUGGGGUCAUGGUUAUUUAUUUAUCUGUCAAGAGUCUUUGCCUUUCCAGUGAACAGGUGCUGUGGAAUCAUCUCUAUUCUCCAUCUUAAAAAAAGAGAGAGAAAGACAUGUAUUCAGGAGUUCCAAUUGUGGCUCAGUGCUUAACGAAUCCGACUAGGAAACAUGAGAUUGUGGGUUCGAUCCCUGGCCUUGCUCAGUGGGUUAAGGAUCCGGUGAUGCCGUGAGCUGUGCUGUAGGUUGCAGACAUGGCUGGGGAUCAUGCGUUGCUGUGGCUCUGACGUAGGCUGGCAGCUACAGCUCCGAUGAGACCCCUAGCCUGGGAACCUCCAUAUGCCAUGGGUGCAGCCCUAGAAAAGGCAAAAAUAAAUAAAUAAAUAAGUUCAGCACUCCCUCAACCCCAAUGGACAAGGUAUUCCUCUGGUGUGAACAGCUAAGUCCUCUCCUGGCAGCCCCUCCAUGUAACCUCGAGUGAGUCCCUUGGCCCACGUCCCUUGCCUUAUGGGCACAAACGCUUUAUUCAGGUUCGAUGAAACAGCAACAUCAUGGAUGCCGACGCUCAUUGUUCCCUUUAGUCUAGUUUGAAUAGUGAACAUGCAGCCGAAGAUGCUGUGAGUUGAAAAGAAAUAGCACUGAAUGUCCAAAGGUUAGUCUCUCAAAGAUUGAAGAAUGAGAAAAUGUCAGAAUGUCACUUUUGGAAGUUGAGAUCAACCAUGCUCUUGCUCUAUUGUUAAUUUUUAUUUUUACUGCAUUUGAUGACUACAUUUCAUCUUAAGGAAUUUUUCGGUGCAAGCCUUUCUUUGUCUCAGAGGUGUUGACAAUUACGUAUUAAAGCUUGUAUGGCACAAAACAGGAAUAUUUAGAAACACAGAUGUGUUAAGGCAUUGUUUUUUAUCUUGUAUAUUUAGUUGAGGGUGUCAGUGAGCGAAAUUGGGAUUAGCACAGGGACUGAGUAGUCCAGAGACCUUUUUCAUCCCCUGAAGGGAGAAGGGCCACGUCUGAGCUCUACCAAGGUUCAUUGCAUGGAUUAUGGGACAGGCUUAACAUGAAUGCCAGCCCCACUGCUCACUGGCUGUACCAUAUUAAAGAACUUUCUUAAUUUCUCCAAGUUCCAAUUUUCUUAUCUAUAAAAUGGAGAUUAAGAAUAUUUACCUAGAGUUCCUGUCUUGGCGCAGCGGAAGCAAAUCCGAGUAGGAACCAUGAGGUUGUGGGUUCGAUCCCCGGCCUUGCUCAGUGGGUUAAAGAUCCAGCAUUGCCGUGAGCUGUGGUGUAGGUUGCAGACACGGCUCAGAUCUGGCAUUGCUGUGGUUCUGAUGUAGGCCAGCAGCAACAGCUCUGAUUCGACCCCUCACUUGCGAACCUCCAUAUGCUGUGGGUGUGGCCCUAAAAAGACAAAAGACAAAAAAAAAAAAAAAA
RNAcentral lists this long non-coding RNA (5574 nucleotides) under Sus scrofa (pig). RNAcentral's name for it is "lncRNA (ENSSSCG00005012012.1)". Lineage: Eukaryota; Metazoa; Chordata; Mammalia; Artiodactyla; Suidae. The record is from RNAcentral.